RNAcentral lists this ribosomal RNA (2271 nucleotides) under Xylella fastidiosa subsp. multiplex. RNAcentral's name for it is "partial 23S ribosomal RNA". It matches the Rfam family "Bacterial large subunit ribosomal RNA", at positions 1 to 2310 of the family's 2925-position model. The record is from RNAcentral. Lineage: Bacteria; Pseudomonadati; Pseudomonadota; Gammaproteobacteria; Lysobacterales; Lysobacteraceae.
GUUAUAUGGUCAAGCGAAUAAGCGCACAUGGUGGAUGCCUUGGCGGUCAGAGGCGAUGAAGGACGUGGUAGCCUGCGAAAAGUGUCGGGGAGCUGGCAACAAGCUUUGAUCCGGCAAUAUCCGAAUGGGGGAACCCACUGUUUAGGCAGUAUCUUUGAGUAAAUUCAUAGCUCAAGGAGGCGAACCUGGUGAACUGAAAUAUCUAAGUAACCAGAGGAAAAGAAAUCAACAGAGAUUCCCUGAGUAGUGACGAGCGAACGGGGAUUAGCCCUUAAGCUAGUAUGGUUUUAGGAAAGCAAUCUGGAAAGGUUGGCCAUAGAAGGUGAUAGCCCUGUAUCCGAAAGGGCCGUACUAGUGAAGAUGAGUAGGACGGGGCACGUGAAACCUUGUCUGAAUAUGGGGGGUCCAUCCUCCAAGGCUAAAUACUCCUGACCGACCGAUAGUGAACUAGUACCGUGAGGGAAAGGCGAAAAGAACCCCGGAGAGGGGAGUGAAAUAGAACCUGAAACCAUGUGCGUACAAGCAGUAGGAGCCCUUAUGGGUGACUGCGUACCUUUUGUAUAAUGGGUCAGCGACUUACUGUUCGUGGCGAGCUUAACCGUAUAGGGGAGGCGAAGGGAAACCGAGUCUGAUAAGGGCGCAUAGUCGCGGGCAGUAGACCCGAAACCGGGUGAUCUAGUCAUGUCCAGGGUGAAGGUGCUGUAACAGGUACUGGAGGCCCGAACCCACUCCCGUUGCAAAGGUAGGGGAUGAGGCGUGAUUAGGAGUGAAAAGCUAAUCGAACCCGGAGAUAGCUGGUUCUCCUCGAAAGCUAUUUAGGUAGCGCCUCAUAUGUAUCCUCUCGGGGGUAGAGCACUGUUAUGGCUAGGGGGUCAUCGCGACUUGCCAAACCAUUGCAAACUCCGAAUACCGAGAAGGACUGUAUGGGAGACACACGGCGGGUGCUAACGUCCGUCGUGAAAAGGGAAACAACCCAGACCCACAGCUAAGGUCCCAAAUUCAUAGCUAAGUGGAAAACGAUGUGGAAAGGCAUAGACAGCCAGGAGGUUGGCUUAGAAGCAGCCAUCCUUUAAAGAAAGCGUAAUAGCUCACUGGUCGAGUCGGUCUGCGCGGAAGAUUUAACGGGGCUAAGCUAUGAACCGAAGCUUGGGGUGCAUAUUUUUAUAUGCGCGGUAGAGGAGCGUUCCGUAAGCCUGUGAAGGUGAGUUGAGAAGCUUGCUGGAGGUAUCGGAAGUGCGAAUGCUGACAUGAGUAACGAUAAUAUGGGUGAAAAACCCAUACGCCGAAAGCCUAAGGUUUCCUUGCGCAACGUUAAUCGGCGCAGGGUUAGUCGGCCCCUAAGGCGAGGGCGAAAGCCGUAGUCGAUGGGAAGCAGGUUAAUAUUCCUGCACCUCGCGUGAGUGCGAUGGAGGGACGGAGAAGGCUAGGUGUACCGGGCGUUGGUUGUCCCGGGGAAAGGAGGUAGGCUGGUUCCUUAGGAAAAUCCGGGGGUCCUUUUAAAGCCGAGCACCGAGACGAGUCUUUUUAGAUGAAGUCACUGAUGCCACGCUUCCAGGAAAAGCUUCUAAGCUUCAGCUCACGAAGACCGUACCGUAAACCGACACAGGUAGGUAGGAUGAGAAUUCUCAGGCGCUUGAGAGAACUCGGGUGAAGGAACUAGGCAACAUGGCACCGUAACUUCGGGAGAAGGUGCACCCUUUUUGGUGGCGCGUGCGCGUUAUAGCUGAAGAGGGUCGCAGAAACCAGGCCGCUGCGACUGUUUAUCAAAAACACAGCACUCUGCAAACACGAAAGUGGACGUAUAGGGUGUGACGCCUGCCCGGUGCUGGAAGGUUAAUUGAUGGGGUUAGCUGUAAAAAGCGAAGCUCUUGAUCGAAGCCCCAGUAAACGGCGGCCGUAACUAUAACGGUCCUAAGGUAGCGAAAUUCCUUGUCGGGUAAGUUCCGACCUGCACGAAUGGCGUAACGACAGCGGCGCUGUCUCCACCCGAGACUCAGUGAAAUUGAAAUCGCUGUGAAGAUGCAGCGUUCCCGUGGCAAGACGGAAAGACCCCGUGAACCUUUACUAUAGCUUUACACUGAACGUUGAGUUCGUCUGUGUAGGAUAGGUGGGAGGCUAUGAAACCAUGACGCUAGUUGUGUUGGAGCCAUCCUUGAAAUACCACCCUGUCGUGCUUGACGUUCUAACCUAGUUCCGUUAUCCGGAUCAGGGACAGUGUAUGGUGGGUAGUUUGACUGGGGCGGUCUCCUCCCAAAGAGUAACGGAGGAGCA